ACAAAAAGUAUUUCGAUACUUCUAUCUUGUGUGCACUGUCUAUCGUAUUCGGUGGUCGUCCCUCGGGGCUCCACCGACAGGCUUGUGUCUUCGGACGCCUGCCUACGAACAACCUUAUGUUAUAAAUAAUGACUGAAUUUCUUUCACUGUGUGAAAAUACAAUGAAAAAA
Molecule: unclassified non-coding RNA, 170 nt
Filed under: uncultured fungus
Lineage: Eukaryota; Fungi
Description: sequence contains ITS1, 5.8S rRNA gene
Source: RNAcentral